RNAcentral lists this signal recognition particle RNA (304 nucleotides) under Brassica rapa (field mustard). RNAcentral's name for it is "SRP RNA Plant_SRP". It matches the Rfam family "Plant signal recognition particle RNA". Lineage: Eukaryota; Viridiplantae; Streptophyta; Magnoliopsida; Brassicales; Brassicaceae. The record is from Rfam by way of RNAcentral.
GUCGAGCUAAGUAACGAGAGCUUGUGACCCGAGUGGGGACAAUAAGAUGGUGGAACACUGGUUUGGUCCACGGGUCGGGUCUGCUGUGGCAAGUUUCUGAGCUGCCCUGUCCAAGCGGAGAGUUAUCUGUCUGGUUUGAGCGAAGGCUCGAAUUAGGUGGGUGCUAAAGUCGGAGGGCAAUGCGUCAGGCUGGUUUCACAGAGCAGCGACUACUUCCCGCUCUCUGCAGUGGACGGAUAACGGCUCGGCGCCACUCAGACCUGCUAUGGCCUGCUGGUUCGUUCUCAGCUGAACCACCAAUUUU